CAGUUUCGUGAGACCAAGUGGAUUGUCAAACUGAUGUCUUUUUCUCUUCAAAAAAAGAAAGUUUGCGUACAGCAAAAGUGCAUACUCUCCUUCUUCUCUCUCCGAUUUCUCAGCACUGGCGACCCAUCGAAAUU
Molecule: non-coding RNA, 134 nt
Organism: Caenorhabditis elegans
Lineage: Eukaryota; Metazoa; Nematoda; Chromadorea; Rhabditida; Rhabditidae
Source: Ensembl